GAUGAAGAACGUAGUGAAAUGCGAUACUUGGUGUGAAUUGCAGAAUCCCGUGAACCAUCGAGUCUUUGAACGCAAGUUGCGCCCGAAGCCAUUAGGCCGAGGGCACGCCUGCCUGGGUGUCACACGUCGUUGCCCCCCCAUCUACUCCUUCGGGAUUGCGGGGGGCGGAUGAUGGCCUCCUGUGCGCCUCGUCGCGCGGUUGGCAUAAAUGCCAAGUCCUCGGCGACGCACGCCACGACAAUCGGUGGUUGCGAAACCUCGGUUGCCCGUCGUGUGCGGUCGUCGCGCAUCGAGGGCUCGAAAAAAUUGCCGGGCUCCGGCUCGGCUUUCAACGCGACCCCAGGUCAGGCGGGGUUACCCGCUGAAUUUAAGCAUAUCAAUAAGCGGAGGA
RNAcentral lists this unclassified non-coding RNA (391 nucleotides) under soil metagenome. RNAcentral describes it as "partial contains 5.8S ribosomal RNA, internal transcribed spacer 2, and large subunit ribosomal RNA". The stretch from base 1 to 122 matches the Rfam family "5.8S ribosomal RNA", at positions 35 to 154 of the family's 154-position model. The record is from RNAcentral.